This 7112-nucleotide long non-coding RNA is filed under the name Malus domestica (apple). RNAcentral's name for it is "long non-coding RNA (MDOM_LNC005233)". The record is from RNAcentral. Lineage: Eukaryota; Viridiplantae; Streptophyta; Magnoliopsida; Rosales; Rosaceae.
GUGAGUAGACCUGAUGAAUCAGUGGUGUGUCUCGGUUGGCUACCCAUACGAACUUUUUUACUUGAUUGCUAGAAUGGGACUUACAAUUACAAUUAACCGAGUGUUGACUGGCCAGCAUGUCCAGGUUCGGUUAGACUUAACUCCAUAUCAUGAGUAGCUGUCCAACCAAGUUCAUAGGCUUCAAGGAAACCGAUCUUUGCCUUGUCGGGGAGAUCAUGGGAAUGAACAAAUGGCACCUCGUUUGGCCACCCAAUCUCCAUUCUUAUAUUGGCACAGGGGCUAUCAAGUGUCUGAAUGUGAUUCUCACACUUCUUCAGGUUGCAGAACCUCAGCUUGAUUCCCUUCUUGUCUGCAAUGUCUUGAACCCUUUCCUGGACUCUCUGGGCCUCGACCCACAAUCUCUUGGAAGGUGGCAGAGGUUUGGUUCUUUCACUCUUUCUCCUCCUCAACAAAGGCUUCAUAGAUCCUGUACCAGCAUUUCAUCGAUCCAAGGACCUGCUGUUAAAAGCUUCUCACAUAAGAGAUACACAUAAACACGUGCAAUCCAAUAUCAAGAGGACUCAAGAGACGGAUAUAAUUUUUAGAAGAUAAAACUAGAUUGAGGAUCCUUGUUACGACAGCAGAAAUGCGAAAACUAUUAAGUAGUUGAUGAUUACUAUCAAUAGAGUUGGACUUAAUUUAGCUUAUACAUUGAACUUAUUUUUGGUGUGUGCAUGUGCUUCAGUCAGUAAGACCAAUCCUAAUUAAAGUAAGCUGUCAUUAAAAAAAUUGCAUUCAUGAAAUCAAUUUACAGUAUGUAACAAGCAGGCAAUUGGUAAAGAAGAUUAAAUGCAGCAUACCAUCUUGUGCUGCAUGGAAAUUGGAACUUUGGAAAACUGUGUCUGUUAAAGAGUUGAUUGGUGGGGUGAGAUCUCUGCAUAAAGUCAUCAACCGCUACUGGAAGCUGGAACUGAGCUUCAACCCCAUGACCAGCAGCUCUCAUCUCUGAACAACUAAGAUUGGUCAUGGAUUUAGGCAUGAAUUUAAAAAGCCACAAGAAAUCGCCCAAACAAGUUGCUCUGUGUAUUAGCAGUCUCCAUUCUCUGCAGUGCAGGGUUAACAUAUCCUGCAGUUGCCUGAUAGAGUGUGAGUCCAGGGUAAACAAUAGCUUCUUGAGGACCAAGAUCUUCGUCCACAAGAACCCAACGACCCUGAAAGUCCUUUAUGUGUAGACCAGCCUUGCCUGACUUGACAAGAGAUAUCAAGCUUUUGUCAACUUGAUGCUCAUGGUCAGAAAACAUAACCAACUGGCCAUCCUCUUGGGUCGUAAAACUAUGGUGUUGUGUAACCUGAAAUGAUGGCCUUGCAUGACAACAGACAGAUAAUACUGAAGAAGAUAUUUACCUGUUUCUUAAGGGAACAUUAUCAAGUACGUCAGUAAAUGGUGAGCUCCUCAAGUUCAAAUAGAAGCUGAUAGCGUGCAAUAUAUCUCGAGCUGCCAUUGCAAGCAGUGAAAAUAUAUCUGGUAAAGCUGCUGGAGGAAAUUCCAUUGUGUUGUCGGGCUCUAAAGGAGUGAAUCCAGGUCUGUAAUCAUAGGUUUCUAGCCACAAUUGAGGAUCUGCAUUAUAAUCGGAAGUCUUGCACCAGUCACGGGGAUCAUUGUUAUUAACCAUAUCUGCAGCUGGGUAUGAUGCUUUCUGGUGGAAGUAGAGGCGAGCCGAAUCUAAACCCGACCUCAAAAGAGCCCCAUCACUCACUGGAAAACUGAAUGAUGGCAGCAGAAUAGAGUGCUAGUGAUUGUGACAAAGUCGAAACAGAUAGUUUGUAAGAAUCUGAUGGAAGGCCUUCACCAGGUGCCAGAUCAGUUAGCUUCACACGACCUAGAGAUGGCAGGCCAUUACUUGCCAUGAAACCCUUUGGGUAUACUUGCUACCUAAUUUUGAAGAGAGGCACAGGUUACACUGACAAACUCAAAAUUAAAAACUGAAACAGCAUAAUCAUUCAUCAAUCAGAAUCUCUCUCUUUUUUUCUUAUGAGAAUUUAGGAACUCCUUGACCCCUAAGUUGAAGCCACAAAACUGAACCAUCUACGUACUGCAAGAAGAAAGUAUAUGAAGCAUAAAUAUAUACGUACAAAUACAUGUGUGUACAUUAUGAACAUUUUAUAUUGAAAAAGUGCUCUCCUAAGGUCCUUAAAAAGUCAAGCUGCUCAACUAUUGAUCGUCUAUGUACGCUAGAAAUGCAAGAUCUAUGAUACGUUGCAUGCCGAGGGGACAUUUGACCUAUGUAUAGAUAAAGUUAGAAGCUAAGUUUUUCCAAUUACUAGUAUGAGCAACAACAACAACAACAACAACAACAACAAAGCCUUUCCCACUAAGUGGGUCGGCUAUAUGAAUCCUUAGACGCCAUUGCGCUCGGUUUUGUGUCAUGUCCUCGUUAGAUCCAAGUACUCUAAGUCUUUUCUUAGGUCUCUCAAAGUUUUCCUAGGUCUUCCUCUACCCCUUCGACCCUGAACCUGUCCCGUAGUCUCUCCUACUUACUCGGAUAUCCUCAUUCCCAAUUAUCCUUUCUCGUUGCCACACAUCACGAAGCAUCCUCAUUCCGCCACACCCAUUUUGUGUACGUGUUGAUGCUUCACGCCCAACAUCUGUGCCAAUACAACAUCGGCCUUAUUGCCUCCUAAAUUUUCCUUGACUUCAGUGCCUACGACGGUCACACACAGCCGGGAUGCACUCUACACUUCAUCAUCCAGCUUGUAUUCUAUGGUUGAGAUCUCAUCUAAUUCUCUCGUUCUCUUUGCACGAUAGUCCUAGUAGCGAAACACGCUUUUUGGUGAUCUUCGCUAGAUUGCUCCGGUCAUUAGUGGGUAAGUAUAUAAAUGGAUAGAGACAAGAAAGCAAACACAAGAUGUACGUGGUUCACCCAGAUGGCUACGUCAGAAAUAGAGGGAUUCUCAUUAAUUGUGAAGGUUUACCAAGUACAUAGGUUCAAGCUCUCCUUUAGUGAGUACAAGUGAAUGAUUAGUACAAAUGACAUUGGGAAAUAUUGUGGGAGAAUGAUCUCGUAAUCACGAACUCUAAGUAUCGGAACGUAUCGUCUUGAUUGCCUUAUCUGUCUCAUAGGUAAUGUGGCAUCUUCUCUGGAGUACUCUUCUCCAUCCAGGGUUGUAUCUUAACUAGUGGAGAUGACAAGGUAAUGUAUCAAUUUCACUUGAAGCUUACUUGUAGUUUCAGGUUGGUCAGCGCGAUACAAACCAUGUAGUGGAGUCCCCAAGUCGCCGAGCUAGAGGAUCUGCUAAAAGAGGUGACAGACAAGGUAAGCAAUCAGAGCUCGGCUGAUUGUUCACUUCUCCCUAUCUUGCAGGCAGCAUGAAGGAUAAAGAGAAGAAAUGAGAAGAGAUUGAUAUGGGUACUUUGCUUUUGAAGAAGUAACUUCCAACAGGCUUAUUCUUGAACUGAGCUGGAGGGUUUUCUGUUUCCUCCGAGUAUAAGGCCGACUGAAGGAUUUGAGGGUCAAACAAGUCCAUCAAAUCUAGAGUACGUUCGACCCCUGAUAUGGGAUACUUUGCUUUGACAGAGUAUGGAAUGAUGGCACGUGUUGCUGUUCGCUUGUCUCCACAUGCUUCCUUGUAUCCUUCUCCCUUGCCCUAGCUGUUCCUCAGGCACGAUUGCGGUAUCUUCCUGGAAGCAUAAGAUGUUGAAGAUGUACUCGAGGCAAUGGGUAAGUAAUAGGUAAGGGGUUCUAGGCAGUCAGUUCCUGGCUGGAAGUUUGAUUCCAAGUGCUGACUGAUUGCUCUCUUCUCCUUGUUUGCAAUAAGAACAAGGCAAAGGAAAAGACAGGGAAAAAGCAUGAUAUGGGAUACUCUUGCUUUUUAACCCUGAUGAUAUGAAUAUCUUGCUCUAGUAUAGCUUGUUUGCAGAGAUAUUAUCGCGGGGAAAGAAGCUGAUAUUCGAAAGGCGUUGGGUGCCCCAUAUGAGGAGGGUUGAGCAUUUUUGCAGGUCUGCCUGUCGUUGGGGAUGGAGGUCGACAUAUAUAGAGUCUCCUUAAAACAAGUAAUAAUGCUAUUCCGUUUCCUACUUGGUCAUAGCCAGGGGGGCUCCAGCGUUCACAUGUUUUAAUUGUCAGAGCACUUUGAAAGUGGUUUGUGGUAUUGGAAAGGUGAUGUUGCAUGUGAAGUUACAGACAGCUUUAUCCCCAAGGAGUCGGCUCUUGAAGUUGGGAAAGUUUGCCUCUUGUUUUCGAACAAGCAACUCCUUGGGGUCUGGCUCCGAGAUUCGGAGACGAUGCCUCUUCGAUUUGAGAAAGCAAUCAUGCUGGGGGGCUCUCGAGAUUCGGAGAACGAUGCCUCUUCGAUUUUUGAGAGAUGCCUAUUGUGGGUUUAUCCAAAGGCAUUUAUUCCUUCGUCUUCUAGGCUGUACGCGUAAUGAGCUCCAAUGUCAACCUGUGCCUCCUUCUAGGGUUCUGUCCAGUACUAAGGUCGAAUGAUCCCUCCGGUGCCUCUCUUUCUGGGCUCACGACUGCUGAGAUUCUAAGCAACCUUUGUGAGGCUCCCUCUUGUUUGUUUGUUAAUAACAUUUGUAAUCGGGGAUAUCUUUUCCUUCAUUUCACGUAUUGUUUAAUUACACAACCUUCUUCGCUAGUUCUUUGAAUUUUCUUUGUUGAAGCUUUGUGAGUGGGCAUUAGGUUUGAGUAUGUUCCUUAAUUUCCUGAGUGAGGAAAACUUCUCGGUUGGAGACUGGAAAAUCCAAGUCAUUGAGUGGGAUCGGCUAUAUGAAUUCUGAACGCUUGUGCUCGGUCUUGUGUUAUGUCCUCGUUAGAUCCAGUACUUAAGUCUUUUCUUAGUCUCUUCCAAGUUUUCUAGUCUUCCUACCCCUUCGGCUGAACUCUAUCCUAGUCGCAUCUUCAAUCGAAGUCAGUAGGCCUUCUUUGCACAUGUCCAAACCCGUAAAACCGAUUUUCUCUCAUCUUUCCUUCAAUUGCGGCUACUCCUACUUUACAUGGAUAUCCUCAUUCAUAAAUCUUAUCCUUUCUCGUGUGCCCACACAUCCAACGAAGCAUCCUCAUCUCCGCUACCCAUUUUGUGUAGUGUUGAUGCUUUACGCCCAAAUUCUGUGUCAUACAGCAUCGCCGGCCUUAUUGCCUCUAUAAAAAUUUUCCCUUGAGCUUCGUGGCAUAUAGGCGUCACACAGCAGCCGGAUCAAUCUUCCAUUCAUCCAUCCACUUGUAUCUAGGUUGAGAUUUCCAUCUAUUCUCCGUUCUUUGCAAUAGAUCCUAGUAACGAAAACGGUCGCUCUUGGUAUUUCUUGAUCUCGAUCCUCACCCCUAAUUUUGGCUCCAUUGCACUGAACUUGCACCUCAUUUUCUGUCUUUGAUCGGCUUAGGCGAAGAUUUAGAUUCCAAACUCCUCUCCAAAGGUAAGUUUGCAUUACCCUUCCUGAGUUCAUCUAUCAACACUAUUCGUCUGCGAAGCAUACACCAAGAAUAUCAUCUUGAAUAUGUCCUGUUAACUCAUCAAUUACAACGCAAAAANUAUAUGGGCUCAAGCAGGCGCCCCGUGCAUGGUCCAAUGUUUUUCCACUCAUUUGGAAGAUUUGGGUUUCCCCUCUACGCGGUCAUCGUUUUUACCUAAUUCAUGGCUCAACUCGUAUUUAUCUCUUAAUUUAUGUUGAUGAUAUUUUGGGUCCGGGAAUAAUCUCUUAUAUUGUCACCUCAUUAAGAUUUUGGGCCUCCGUUUCUCUAUAAGGACCUUGGACGGUUCAUUAUUUCUUAGAUGGAGGUGGUCCGCACUCCAUCAGGUCUCUCUCUUUCCCAACAGAAGUAUGCACUGACCUCCUUACCGCACCAAAUGCGGUGCCGGGUUCCUACUCUGCCGUUAGUGGGCGACGGCUCAGUCUUCGGAUGGUGACUCUGCCGGAUCCUACUGAAACCGAAGUGUUGUCGGCGCCCUUCAUUACUUGACUCUUCACUCGCCCCGAAUCAACUUCGCCGUCAACCAAGUCUGCCAAUCUUCACCAGCCGACUUCUACUCAUUGGGCCGCGUCAGCAUUCUUUCGUUACCUUGUCGGCACUACUUCUCACGGUCUUAUCUACAAGCUGGUUCUUUUGUCUUACGGCAUUUCCGAUGCCGAUUAUGCCGGGAUCCUGAUGAUCGGCGUUCCACCGGGGGGCUAUUGCUGUACUGGGUUCCAAUCUUGUCUCAUGGAGUGCCAAGAAACAAAAUGGGGUCUCUCCGGUCCAGCACUGAGCCGAGUAUCGUCAAUUGCAAUCACCGCUGCCCUCUUUCAUGGUUUCGUAUGCUGUUCGUGACCUCCAGUUUCCUCUCCAUUGUCCUUACCACUGUUCGUGUGACAAUAUCAGUGCUAAUUCCUUUGCUUUCCAACCGGUGUUUUGCCCGCACUCGGCAUGUUGAGGUAGAUUCCAUUUAUGUUCGUGAAAGGUUGUCGCAAGGAGCUUUGAUGUUCAGUUAUCUUUCUAUCAUGAUCAGAUUGCUGACAUCUUCACCAAGGGCCUUUCUCUUCCUCGUUUUCGACUUCUGGUUUCCAAGCUUCCUGUACUUGAUUGUACUGUCAGCUUGCGGGGGUAAAGGAUGAUACAUUCCUGAUCUCUUGGGAUUGUUUCCUGUUUAUCAUGAUUUCCAGAUUUCCCUGUUUUAUUAAAACAUUCCCUUUAUGUAUUCUUUGUAGAUUAAUUAUACUUGUAAAUCAAGUCAUUGUACACUAUUUAAAUCAAUGAUAAUGCACCCUCUAUAGUAUCGAGGGAUUGAGCCAAAAUACCUUCUUUUACUUUUGCUGUCUUGUCUGCAAUUCCUCCUUUGAGUUAUCUUUUAGUUAGUAUCAACAAGGACAAGAAUUCCAGGGAUGGUGACCGUGCGUAGACCUGAUGAAUCAGUGGUGUGUCUCGGUUGGCUACCCAUACGAACUUUUUUACUUGAUCGCUAGAAUGGGACUUACAAUUACAAUUAACCGAGUGUUGACUGGCCAGCCUGUCCAGGUUCAGAUAGACUUAACUCCAUAUCAUGAGUAGCUGUCCAACCAGGUUCAUAGGCUUCAAGGAAACCGAUCUUUGCCUUGUCGGGGAGAUCAUGGGAAUGAACAAAUGGCACCUCGUUUGGCCACCCAAUCUCCAUUCUUAUAU